CUUCACCACCCUCUGCUGCCAACCACACUGAGAGAACUCCAGAGCCCAACGGUUGGUCAGUUGGUCGCUCUGGGCACCAACUGCCAGGCACUGGGUUGCCGUGGCAACAAACUGGCUAGGGAAGAGGAGGGGCCAGGAACCUGGCCCGCUCUCUGACCAGGGCAGUAGGGGGGCACCUCACUGUUUGUGCUUUGAUUGGUGUUGGGAGUGGGUCAGAAAGAGGACUGUGGCCAUCUCCAUGGAAACACGAGAGCCCCUCUAGCCAAGGGGUGAGACAGGAGCUUCAAGCAGUUCCCAGGAGCGCAACACGGCGGGACGGUGAGCGAGCUGGAGACAGGAAGGAAGAAGCCCAUCUGCCACCUAGUUCCUGAAAGGUGGUAUCAAGAGAAGUGAGAGAUCAGUGUGAGGGCCCCGACUCACCCCUUCAGAUCCAGUGUAGGCCCCCCCACCCCUCUUUUACGCCCCUUUGGAACCAGGGACUCUGCACCAGCAAGCACCCCAGGGCCCCUGCUUCCUUAAAGCAAGGGAGGGCUGGGGUGGCAAGGCAGGAAAGAGAGAACCAGGGAAGAGUUACAGUGGGGGCGGGGGUAGUCUGAGCACCAAGACAGAGAAGGAAACCCAGCAAGGAAUGGGUGGGCACAAGUGCGUGGACACCCUCCAGGGCACACCCGGCACACUGUGUCCACAGGCCACUGCCGGCCUGCACAAAGCUCACAAAACCAAAAAAAGCUCCAUGGGAUGCACAUGGGAGGGACACACACACACACACACACGCACACACCCCUAACAUCUGUGUACAUGACAGACAUGUCCACACAUCCAAGUGGGCACCCCCAAAUCCGGAUGAGAACUAAGAAGCCCGGCAAAAUGCCUCAUUCUCCAUGCCCAAAGAUAAAUAAUUCAUUUGUUGUGUAA
Long non-coding RNA from Peromyscus eremicus (cactus mouse), 915 nucleotides. RefSeq lists it as uncharacterized. The transcript is spliced from 2 exons. The record is from RefSeq and is a predicted model, not a curated record. Lineage: Eukaryota; Metazoa; Chordata; Mammalia; Rodentia; Cricetidae.